RNAcentral lists this ribosomal RNA (460 nucleotides) under uncultured bacterium. Its description in RNAcentral is "partial 16S ribosomal RNA". It matches the Rfam family "Bacterial small subunit ribosomal RNA", at positions 338 to 795 of the family's 1533-position model. The record is from RNAcentral.
CCUACGGGUGGCAGCAGUGAGGAAUAUUGGUCAAUGGGCGCGAGCCUGAACCAGCCAAGUAGCGUGAAGGAUGACUGCCCUACGGGUUGUAAACUUCUUUUAUACGGGGAUAAAGUGCGUCACGUGUGCCUUUUUGUAUGUACUUUAUGAAUAAGGACCGGCUAAUUCCGUCCCAGCAGCCGCGGUAAUACGGAGGAUCCGGGCGUUAUCCGGAUUUAUUGGGUUUAAAGGGAGCGUAGAUGGGAUGUUAAGCGGGUUGUGAAAGUUCGGGGCUCAACCGGUGAAUUGCCAUUGAUACUGGCAGUCUUGAGUGCGGAGGAGGUAGGCGGAAUUCGUGGUGUAGCGGUGAAAUGCUUAGAUAUCACGAAGAACACCGAUUGCGAAGGCAGCUUACGAAACUGCCACUGACGCUGAUGCUCGAAAGUGCGGGUAUCAAACAGGAUUAGAUACCCGGGUAGUC